Molecule: ribosomal RNA, 245 nt
Filed under: Streptococcus agalactiae
Lineage: Bacteria; Bacillati; Bacillota; Bacilli; Lactobacillales; Streptococcaceae
Also listed under: 2 other names
Description: partial 16S ribosomal RNA
Rfam family: Bacterial small subunit ribosomal RNA
Source: RNAcentral
UUUAAUGAGAGUUUGAUCCUGGCUCAGGACGAACGCUGGCGGCGUGCCUAAUACAUGCAAGUAGAACGCUGAGGUUUGGUGUUUACACUAGACUGAUGAGUUGCGAACGGGUGAGUAACGCGUAGGUAACCUGCCUCAUAGCGGGGGAUAACUAUUGGAAACGAUAGCUAAUACCGCAUAAGAGUAAUUAACACAUGUUAGUUAUUUAAAAGGAGCAAUUGCUUCACUGUGAGAUGGACCUGCGU